This is a long non-coding RNA of Telopea speciosissima, 250 nucleotides long. RefSeq lists it as uncharacterized. The record is from RefSeq and is a predicted model, not a curated record. Lineage: Eukaryota; Viridiplantae; Streptophyta; Magnoliopsida; Proteales; Proteaceae. The transcript is spliced from 3 exons.
ACCUUCGGGUGGAUGAGGAAAUGCCAAAGUUGUGUCUUCCAAAGCUCUAGCAAAAACACGACAGUCAUUCGCAUUGCCUUUCCAACCCGCAUAUACGAAUGUGAAUUUCAUGUCAAACGAACAUGCACACAUUACAUUUUGGGUUGUUAUCCCUUUUCGACCUCGAUAUGGAAUCUGCUUGCCCUUAGGGACUAUAGCUGUGAUAUGGGUACUAUCUAUGGCACCAAUGCAAUCCUAAUUAAAAUAAUAC